GUAUCAUGGCAAGGUUGCAACUUGAGUGACCAACUACUGAAUCACAUGAAGAUGUCCUCCAUUUUGGGGAGAGCCCUUCUUUGUGAAUGUCGUGUAGUAUUUACUAGCUGUAUACAUUUCGGUGUUUCCUGCAUUGGAAUCUGCGAUGGAAGUGAAAUUGUUUCCGCAAGGAAUUUCCUAGAAACUGAGGUUUAUCUCUCUUUGCAGGGAUCAUACACACUUACAAUGCGGAUGACUGGAGAAGAUGGGCAGCAACUGACUUGCAUCACCUUCGGUUUCAGCAUUGGAUUCGUACCUGUUGCUGACAACUAGAAAAAGUCAUGUAUUAUCGCCUGUAAUAAUAUGAACUUACUUAUCACAAGCCAUCUGUGCUUCCUUUGUGAGAUCAUAUCGUAAAACCUUUGCAUGUUAUUGCCACGUUACAAUGACGAGGAUCAUAUAUGCUGUAUGUUUUCUGUAGACUAAUAUAUGGAAUGGUUUGGUCAGUUUAAUUUCUUGGCAAGAAGGAAAGUUAUUAGUCCAAAGCAGAUUACAGCAUCAUGAUUCUUCUGUUUGCUUCUUUCUUCCAGUACUUUGAGAUGAUAUGGACAUGAAUUGGCCAUGCAAUUGUGGUCUCUGUCUCCAUUUUCCUCAAGCAGCACUUCGUGAUCCUCCAC
Molecule: long non-coding RNA, 656 nt
Filed under: Musa acuminata (dwarf banana)
Lineage: Eukaryota; Viridiplantae; Streptophyta; Magnoliopsida; Zingiberales; Musaceae
Description: long non-coding RNA (MACU_LNC004470)
Source: RNAcentral